GGGAAGACGAGGCAGCACCCGCCGCCGCCGGCCGCCGCGCGGCAUGGAGUGGAGUUGUUGGAGACGAGAGCGCCAGAUCUUGGAGAGUUCAUGCGUUCUCCGCGCGGAGGAGAUUCAAUUCGUCAGAGCAGAGGAGGGCAAUCCGGCGGAGGAGAAGGGAGAGGGGAGAGAGAGCCUCCGGCCGCCGGAGAGGAUGGUCGCGAGCUCUCGGCGACCCAACAUCGUCGUCUCCCUGUCGCGCGCGAGAGAGAGCCAGAGUUGCGGAUUUGGUUCCCCACCGCUCGAGUGAUGGAACGUUAUCCCGGGGAUGAACGCGAAAACGACGGGGAAACUACACCGUAUGAGCAACCAAAUGAGCUUAUCCGGAUCGAUUGGACCCGGGGUUUGUUGGGCCAGGGAAAACGGGCGGAACCGCUCGGGAAAGUGUGCAACCAAACGAGCCCUAAGAGAGCUAGGUUACGAGCAAGGUUACUUUUCCUUUGGUCCGGUACUCUUUAUGCUCUCCAUAAGGGAAUACGCAGGCCACAUAUAGCACACAAGACGAACCUUGUUAUGAAGUGUUCAUCUGUUGAUCCUUUCUCAUUUUUGGUCUCUCGCACUAGGCCUUUGAAGGCCCAAGAGAUUAUCUACAUCUUCUAAGUGGAUUUGUAGCAGAGUUUCUUGGAUGAAGGUGUUAUGUCCAGUGUUGUAAGUAUCGGUCAGUUUUUUGCAGGGGAGGAGUAGAAGAAGACCAUGGAAAGAAGCUUUGGAGAUGUUCCCAACAAGGUGAUGAUAGAAGUUCUAGCGGCGACAAGGGUGGACGGCAACUGAUCAUCACACUGAUGCAACAAUUUUUUGUAUUUCAUGUUAAUAAACUAUUUAUGUUUUGAAUGGGAGUAAUGAACCAAGACAUGAAUGUUAUGCAUAAGAUUUAUA
Lolium perenne is the source of this 915-nucleotide long non-coding RNA. RefSeq lists it as uncharacterized. The record is from RefSeq and is a predicted model, not a curated record. NCBI's taxonomy places the organism in Eukaryota, Viridiplantae, Streptophyta, Magnoliopsida, Poales, Poaceae.